GAACACUUGGAGGCUGCUAUCUAUUGAGACAUCAAAAGAACUCAGUUCCCAAUGUAAAGGUGUUUUCGAAUAAAGAAAAGAAUUUGGUCCUUAUCUGCCUACCCUGUUUUUUAUCCUCAGUCAGGAGAGGGCAAGCAAACAUAUUUUAGAGAUCUCCCUGACUGAAGCAAAUCUACACAGGAUUAUAAAGUCACAGGAAAUUAAAGUCUGGUGUCAGUAAUGUAUAGAGCGGUGUUACAGAAAUCUAUCAGAGUGCCAGGUAUUGGUGGGUGUCGUCACAUUACCCACGUGUCAACAGACCGGGUCUGGAUCAGUGAUGGUGACAAUCUCUUCUUAACUAACACGACAGGAGACAUUUUAGAUAGUGUGACAGAUUUAUAUAAAUUUGGUGAUGGUGU
Long non-coding RNA from Saccostrea cuccullata (small rock oyster), 398 nucleotides. RefSeq lists it as uncharacterized. The record is from RefSeq and is a predicted model, not a curated record. The transcript has 3 exons. NCBI's taxonomy places the organism in Eukaryota, Metazoa, Mollusca, Bivalvia, Ostreida, Ostreidae.